This 479-nucleotide long non-coding RNA is filed under the name Equus caballus (horse). RNAcentral describes it as "lncRNA (ENSECAG00000044001.1)". The record is from RNAcentral. Lineage: Eukaryota; Metazoa; Chordata; Mammalia; Perissodactyla; Equidae.
GCAGAAGUGACAGUAAGUUACUUCCGAGGCUAAGUCAUAAAAGGUAACCCAGCUCCACCUGCCUCUCUCGGGACCACUGUCACACAGCCAUCAUGCUGCCGGGAAGCCCAGGUCACCUGGAAAGGCCCUCACAGCUCCAGCUGAGGUUCUGGCCAAGAGCCAGCCUCCAACACCAUACAGGUCUGGAGUGGUCCCCAAGAUCCAGCAUUUCCAACACGCUCCCAGGUGACAUCGAUGCUGCAGCUGGUCUUCCGACCACACCUGGAGUAGCAAGAUUCUACAGCAGCACCACCAAGAGAAAUACAAGCCACCUAUGUAACUUUACAUUUUCUUGUAACUACACUAAAAAUAAUUUUAGUAACAUAUUUUACUUAAUCCAAUAUGUCCAAAACAUGAUCAUGUCAACAGGUAAUCAAGUUAUUAAUGAGAUGGCUUACAUUCUUUUUUUGGUACUAAGUCUUCAAACCCUGGGGUGCAUU